GGUAUUCCUUAUCUAUCUAAUACGUUGAUUUGUCUGGAACCUGUCCCAUUGGGCUUUCUGUUCUUCAUCUUUCAGCCUGUCGCUUUGUUGGCGGCAUUUGCUCACCGCUGCGAUACAACUCAAACUAUUUCGAACGACAAAAGCACAAUAAGACAGGUUCUGCGUUUAGUUGCCGCGCUCUAAAA
This 185-nucleotide small RNA is filed under the name Lelliottia amnigena. RNAcentral describes it as "tp2". It matches the Rfam family "tp2". The record is from RNAcentral. Lineage: Bacteria; Pseudomonadati; Pseudomonadota; Gammaproteobacteria; Enterobacterales; Enterobacteriaceae.